Homalodisca vitripennis (glassy-winged sharpshooter) is the source of this 796-nucleotide long non-coding RNA. RefSeq lists it as uncharacterized. Lineage: Eukaryota; Metazoa; Arthropoda; Insecta; Hemiptera; Cicadellidae. The transcript has 4 exons. The record is from RefSeq and is a predicted model, not a curated record.
UUACAGGUUCCAAGGAUCCCAAGAAGAGAUGUUGAAGAGACUUUAAAACCGACGCCAUGAGAAGAGAGACUCUCUCUACUGAUGGUGGUUUGUUCUAAAGCCUCUAACAAAUUCAUGGGACGUCGGUAUAAACACUACUUAAAGAAGAAUUAUUAAUCAGUCAAGAUCAUCUGAAGAAAAAUAAGAAGAGCAUUCAUCCCCCAGGGCACGUCAGAUAAGACCAAGGUUCCAAGGAUCCCAAGAAGAGAUGUUGAAGAGACUUUAAAACCGACGCCAUGAGAAGAGAGACUCUCUCUACUGAUGGUGGUUUGUUCUAAAGCCUCUAAAAAAUUCAUGGGACGUCGGUAUAAACACUACUUAAAGAAGAAUUAUUAAUCAGUCAAGAUCAUCUGAAGAAAAAUAAGAAGAGCAUUCAUCCCCCAGGGCACGUCAGAUAAGACCAAGGUUCCAAGGAUCCCAAGAGGAGAUGUUGAAGAGACUUUAAAACCGACGCCAUGAGAAGAGAGACUCUCUCUACUGAUGGUGGUUUGUUCUAAAGCCUCUAAAAAAUUCAUGGGAGAUCGGUAUAAACACUACUUAAAGAAGAAAUAUUAAGCGAUCAAGAUCUUCUGAAGAAUACAGAGAAGAGGUUAGAUCCCACACGGCACGUGAGAGAAGACGAAGGUUCCAAGGAUCCCAAGAAGAGAUGUUGAAGAGACUUUAAAACCGACGCCAUGAGAAGAGAGACUCUCUCUACUGAUGGUGGUUUGUUCUAAAGCCUCUAAAAAAUUCAUGGGAGAUCGGUAUAAACACUACU